RNAcentral lists this microRNA precursor (76 nucleotides) under Scleropages formosus (Asian bonytongue). Its description in RNAcentral is "mir-205 microRNA precursor family". It matches the Rfam family "mir-205 microRNA precursor family". Lineage: Eukaryota; Metazoa; Chordata; Actinopteri; Osteoglossiformes; Osteoglossidae. The record is from Rfam by way of RNAcentral.
GUCUUCUAUCCUUCAUUCCACCGGAGUCUGUUUCUUCUAAUCAAUCAGAUUUCAGUGGUGUGAAGAGUAAGAAGCA